GAUGAACGCUAGCUACAGGCUUAACACAUGCAAGUCGAGGGGCAGCAUGAGGUCAGCUUGCUGACUUUGAUGGCGACCGGCGCACGGGUGAGUAACGCGUAUCCAACCUGCCCAUAACUAAGGGAUAAUCCGUAGAAAUGCGGUCUAAUACCUUAUGUUGUCCGAGGAAGACAUCUGAUUCGGACGAAAGAUUUAUCGGUUAUGGAUGGGGAUGCGUCUGAUUAGCUUGUUGGCGGGGUAACGGCCCACCAAGGCGACGAUCAGUAGGGGUUCUGAGAGGAAGGUCCCCCACAUUGGAACUGAGACACGGUCCAAACUCCUACGGGAGGCAGCAGUGAGGAAUAUUGGUCAAUGGACGAGAGUCUGAACCAGCCAAGUAGCGUGCAGGAUGACGGCCCUAUGGGUUGUAAACUGCUUUUAUACGGGGAUAAAGAUGUCACGUGUGACAUUUUGCAGGUACCGUAUGAAUAAGGACCGGCUAAUUCCGUG
Molecule: ribosomal RNA, 489 nt
Filed under: uncultured bacterium
Lineage: Bacteria
Description: bacterial SSU rRNA
Rfam family: Bacterial small subunit ribosomal RNA
Source: RNAcentral